This 425-nucleotide ribosomal RNA is filed under the name uncultured bacterium. RNAcentral describes it as "partial 16S ribosomal RNA". It matches the Rfam family "Bacterial small subunit ribosomal RNA", at positions 354 to 796 of the family's 1533-position model. The record is from RNAcentral.
GUGGGGAAUCUUGCGCAAUGGGCGAAAGCCUGACGCAGCCAUGCCGCGUGAAUGAUGAAGGUCUUAGGAUUGUAAAAUUCUUUCACCGGGGACGAUAAUGACGGUACCCGGAGAAGAAGCUCCGGCUAACUUCGUGCCAGCAGCCGCGGUAAUACGUAGGGAGCGAGCGUUGUCCGGAAUUACUGGGCGUAAAGGGCGCGUAGGCGGGAAUUUAAGUAAGGUGUGAAAACUCCGGGCUCAACCUGGAGACUGCACUUUAAACUGGAUUUCUUGAGGGCAGGAGAGGAAAGUGGAAUUCCUAGUGUAGCGGUGAAAUGCGUAGAUAUUAGGAGGAACACCAGUGGCGAAGGCGACUUUCUGGACUGUACCUGACGCUGAGGCGCGAAAGCGUGGGGAGCGAACAGGAUUAGAUACCCGAGUAGUCC